Molecule: long non-coding RNA, 175 nt
Organism: Daphnia pulicaria
Lineage: Eukaryota; Metazoa; Arthropoda; Branchiopoda; Diplostraca; Daphniidae
Exons: 3
Source: RefSeq, a predicted model, not a curated record
CGUUAGUCUUUCAUGUGAACACUUGUGAAUUCUUAACGAGUUUGUUUUAGUUUCAAAUUAAAAAUUAUCCGUCAAAAUGGAUGAUAUUUGCAAUGCAAGAUCCUACAUCAAUCUUGGAUUUGACAACGAUCUUGUGGACAAUUUAAAAUCAAGCAAACAAGGAGACUUGCUUAAA